RNAcentral lists this unclassified non-coding RNA (155 nucleotides) under uncultured Capronia. Its description in RNAcentral is "partial internal transcribed spacer 2". Lineage: Eukaryota; Fungi; Ascomycota; Eurotiomycetes; Chaetothyriales; Herpotrichiellaceae. The record is from RNAcentral.
UCAACCCUCAAGCCCUGCUUGCUGUUGGACCCCUCGACGAAAGUUGACGGCCCCAAAGAUAACGACGGUGUUGUGACAACCCCCAGACGCAAUGAGCUUUAACACGCACGCGUCACGGCGGUGUCGUAACCCAGUCUUCAAACAAUUAUUCCAAG